RNAcentral lists this ribosomal RNA (500 nucleotides) under uncultured bacterium. Its description in RNAcentral is "partial 16S ribosomal RNA". It matches the Rfam family "Bacterial small subunit ribosomal RNA", at positions 30 to 523 of the family's 1533-position model. The record is from RNAcentral.
AUUGAACGCUGGCGGUAUGCUUAACACAUGCAAGUCGAACGGCAACAUAAUCUUCGGAUUGAUGGCGAGUGGCGGACGGGUGAGUAAUAUAUAGGAAUCUGCCUUGUAGUGGGGGAUAACUAUCCGAAAGGAUAGCUAAUACCGCAUAAUGAUUACGGUUUAAAGCAGGGGAUCUUCGGACCUUGCGCUACAAGUUGAGCCUAUACAAGAUUAGCUAGUUGGUGGGGUAAAGGCCCACCAAGCCAACGAUCUGUAGCUGGUCUGAGAGGACGACCAGCCACACUGGAACUGAGACACGGUCCAGACUCCUACGGGAGGCAGCAGUGGGGAAUUCUGGACAAUGGACGCAAGUCUGAUCCAGCCAUUCCGCGUGCAGGAUGAAGGCCCUCGGGUUGUAAACUGCUUUUGUACGGAACGAAAAGGUCUCUCUUAAUACGGGGGGCUCAUGACGGUACCGUAAGAAUAAGCACCGGCUAACUACGUGCCAGCAGCCGCCGCAG